CAGCAGCCGCGGGAAUACGUAGGGUGCGAGCGUUAAUCGGAAUUACUGGGCGUAAAGCGUGCGCAGGCGGUUGUGUAAGACAGGUGUGAAAUCCCCGGGCUUAACCUGGGAACUGCGCUUGUGACUGCACAGCUAGAGUAUGGCAGAGGGGGGUGGAAUUCCACGUGUAGCAGUGAAAUGCGUAGAGAUGUGGAGGAACACCGAUGGCGAAGGCAGCCCCCUGGGCCAAUACUGACGCUCAUGCACGAAAGCGUGGGGAGCAAACAGGAUUAGAUACCCCCGUAGUCCCUGUCUCUUAUAU
RNAcentral lists this ribosomal RNA (301 nucleotides) under uncultured bacterium. Its description in RNAcentral is "partial 16S ribosomal RNA". It matches the Rfam family "Bacterial small subunit ribosomal RNA", at positions 509 to 809 of the family's 1533-position model. The record is from RNAcentral.